GCAAGGACAUAUGCUCCCCCUCCCCUACCUAAAGCCCCAAAUAAAAACCCUUCCUUCUAGCUUUUUGGGGAGUUUGGGAUUUCAGCGUUAGCUGCCCUCUCUUCUUGCUCAGCACUGUGCAAAAAUAAAAUUUCUACUUUAUUCCACCACACCCGGUGUCAGAGAUUGGCUUGCUGCACAACGGGACACAAUUGGAAACAGUGGUUAUAUUACCAAGGCUUUGACUGGAACAUCAUGUUUGAAAAAACAUACGGGCUUGGAUAUAACAAGACAGCUUUUGAGGAAUGAAGGUUGACAUUCUGGAAUAAAGCCACUUGGAAAUAUUGGCCUGGUACUGUACUUAUGGGUUCUGUAACCUGGUAAGGUUAAGCAAAGAAUGUCGCUCCCUCUGGCAGGUAAAAGGAACCUCAAUAUUUUGGGGAGCCUCAUGAAGAGAGGGAUUCACCCAAAUCUGUAGGUACUGCAGGCAGAAUGUGAUAACAGGUCCUUUGCUUGGCUUUCUUUGAGAGACCUUUAAAAUUCAACCUGAGAUUCCUUAUAAGGUUCCAGCAAAGCAGAUUUAAAAGAGCCUAUAUGAUCAAUUACUAUUCUUGCUGUACUUAUGUAAAUAAUUAUGCCAAAUUUAUUAAAACUGGACAUUUUGCAAACCAGUUAGUCUUAAUUUGGCUAUGUCUAGUGAAAUUGAAGAUGAUUUUAGGGAGGAAGAUUAUAUUUCAAUGGAAAACUAUAAUACAUAUUUAUAAAUAUUGGAUUUUAGUUUUUUCAAUUAUCUUUGAAAUUUUUGUUUUACUUCUGUUAACUGGACUGGAUCUUGAAUUCUUCAUCUCCUGAAAUAUCUGGCUAAAAACCUCCAAACUAACAUUUUCAGGGUUUUUUUUCUCAUUAUUUUCAUUUGGAGUCAUUGAAAACUAAAUCUGCCCUUUGUCCUAAAGCCUUACAAACUGAAGCUGGAGGACCUAAUAUAAACUUAAGAGAGAUUCAUGUCUACUGCUGUGUAAGCCACUCAAAAAGCUACCUGAGUGCCCAAUGACACCAUCAGAGACAUUUCAAACUGCAAAAGAUGCUUCGACCCUGACUUCUAGGAAUCUUGAUUGGCUGCCCCCUGGACUCAGAAACUGGUUUAUAAUUUGCUCCGAUCAUUAACCUUGUUUUUCUCUUUUUGUUUCUCUAGAAAAACUCUUUAUUAAAUACCUGGUUACUUACUUACAUGAUACAGGCCUACCUUCAGGAGCCCACCAGCAUCACUGCCUUAUUAAAAGACUGGUUCAAUGAGAUGAAACGACCUACGCCCCAUUUCAGCAGGAAGUAGCUAGAUCGGUUGCCACCCCAAAUCCCUCAAGAUUGAGGGAUGGACAUAAAAUAGGGGGGAAGUUGACACUGAUCCUGAUAUCAGUUUCCCCACACUAAACCCAGCAUAUAUGGGGUUAAAAGCAAAACAACCAUUCCCUGCUUGCUCUCUGGCUUCCUGGCUCCAGAAUCCACUAUUCUCCAUGGAGACAGACAUCAUCAAGGACAAGCACCUGGACUAUCUCCUCCCACAAAGAUAUACGGGCUGGUGGGAAAGCUGCUGACCAGCAAGGUCAUGAGCUCGCUCCUGUCUGCAAGUAGUCUCAAGGCCAAAGACAAGCUGGUGGGAAAGCUCCAACCAGCAAGGCCAUAUGCUCCCCCUCCCCUACCUAAAGCCCCAAAUAAAAACCCUUCCUUCUAGCUUUUCGGGGAGUUUGGGAUUUCAGCGUUAGCUGCCCUCUCUCCUUGCUCAGCACUGUGCAAAAAUAAAAUUUCUACUUUCUUCCACCACACUCAGUGUCAGAGACUGGCUUGCUGCACAACGGGUGAGCGAACUCACUUCAGGUUGGGUAACACUAUGUAUGAAGAUUGAGUUGUUU
This 1886-nucleotide long non-coding RNA is filed under the name Equus asinus (donkey). Its description in RNAcentral is "lncRNA (ENSEASG00005030627.1)". The record is from RNAcentral. Lineage: Eukaryota; Metazoa; Chordata; Mammalia; Perissodactyla; Equidae.